RNAcentral lists this transfer RNA (65 nucleotides) under Fukomys damarensis (Damara mole-rat). It matches the Rfam family "tRNA". Rfam says of the family: Transfer RNA (tRNA) molecules are approximately 80 nucleotides in length. Their secondary structure includes four short double-helical elements and three loops (D, anti-codon, and T loops). Lineage: Eukaryota; Metazoa; Chordata; Mammalia; Rodentia; Bathyergidae. The record is from Rfam by way of RNAcentral.
AGUGUAGUUCAGUGUUAGAGCACUUGCCUAGCAUCCAUGAAGUCCUGGGUUCAAUUCCCAGCACU